ACAAAACCAGGUUAUCAUUGUGAAAAAAAAAUCUGAUAAAGAGAGAAAACUCAAACUGAACUUUAUAAAUGAACAAACAAAAUUAACCCCCUUUGUAAGUUUUUUUUUUUUUUAAUCUAUUUUUAGUCGUGGCGACCUUGACAUUGGAGAUAUCGACGUAAUUAUUUCGCGCGACACACCGUCCAAUGAUGGUGAACAAAUGUGCCAAAUUAUUUUAAAAUCUCACAAUGAAUGACAUAGUUAUGGCCAGGACAAGCUUGUUCCGCCAGCCCGCCAGCCAGCCCGCCAGCCAGCCAGCCAGCCAGCCCGCCCGCAUUCGCCAAUCUAAUAACCAGUUUUUUCCUUCGGAAAACCUGGUUAAAAAUACGAGAGGCAGCAAAGAAUGAACAGAAAGACAGCAUUUUGGCAGAAAGGCAACCGAUAUGCUUCUACACCGUGCAAUGACAUCGCUCGUUUCAAAAAAUGCUAAGGCAUAAUCUACCAGUGUAAUAUGCAAAGUGGUUUCAGGGCUGCUGAUUAUUUUACAAAUUUACGUGAAUCACUGACAUGACUGACAACCCGAUCCGUGGAAAUCCGCAGAUCCACGGAAAAAUCAAACGAACCCUUUCCAUGCCUGGAACUAAACUCUGUCAGUAACAAUUUCGCGCUCUUAUUAAAAACACAAGUUUUACAUGGCAUCAUGUAUAGUGAAUGGUGCAGGUGCGUACAAAGGGACUUAAAUAAUAUCAUCACGUGGCUGUAGAAAAAUUUUGUAAUUCAGUUCUAUAAAUGGACAUGACAAAAUAUACUUGUACUGAAAUUAAAUUGUUACCGCAUACAA
Dreissena polymorpha is the source of this 820-nucleotide long non-coding RNA. RefSeq lists it as uncharacterized. Lineage: Eukaryota; Metazoa; Mollusca; Bivalvia; Myida; Dreissenidae. The record is from RefSeq and is a predicted model, not a curated record. The transcript is spliced from 2 exons.